AAAAGGCAAAACCCAGAAACACCCCUCCUAAGGAACAAAAACGGCAACAACAAAACAACAAAAACAUUACAUAAACCUUGGCAUACCUAGGUAUAAUGAAACCCAAUAAUUAAAAACAAACUAGCAAUGAGUUACAAGAAAGCAAAAAUUUCUUGAGCUGAAUGUAAUGGUUACUCUUGCAUUUCUUCUUUGGAAUGUAAUUUCUAGAUGCCCGACAAUUCUUACGACAAAGGUGCAGCGCAUAAACCAAAACUCAAACAACAGUAAUUGAGGGAGAAAUAAUAGCAAUCUAAAUUAGAAAAACACAGCAGCAUCCUAAAACCAAAGGAUUUUAGCAAUAAAAUUCAACCUGUAGAAACAUCCAACUCAUGUGCUGAUGCGAACACAAAAUUGAGCACCUUCCAAUAGCUAAAAGAGGAACAUGAGACGCAAAUCCUGGAUAGAUAACUAGAUUCUCAUGAAAGAAAACCCAUCUUUCUUAAAAUUGAGGAAACAACCAAGUGCAAAACCCAAAGACACAAAGAAGAAUACAGGACCCAUACACACGGAAAUGAACCCCCUAAGAAACCCAUUCAUUAAUCAAAUAAAAGAUCAAAACCAAGCACCUACACUUCAUGCACCAAGCCGAUGGCUAAGAAUUCUAUAUGAAUAACACCAAAAAAGUGGAUCCACAACGAGACAAAACUCUAAGACACCUCCCUUAAGUAUAAAAAUACAGGUGCCGCAUGUACGUUUCUGCCAAAAUCAAAAUUCAAAAACCAAAUCCCUAAUCAUGACCUCCUUAAUCAAAGAAUUUCACAUAAACUCGGACCCCAUCUAAGCAAGAUUAAUAAUAAGAAUAUCCCCAAGGAAUAGACCUAACCAACAACUUUUGAAAGAAAUAAUCCAAUCAAAACCCAAAGCUAAAAAGUUCCUUGACUCUUUUAAAGCACCGAACAAGAGAAUACUUGAAAGUAAAAUAAAGUAAUUCUAAGAUUCACCUACAGUAAGAGGAACCUCAGAUUUUGGAUGCCUCCAUGGCUAAAAUGUCAGACUUAAUUUGCCUGAUCAAAUGAAUAACCAUAAUUUCGUCUGGUUCUGAGAACACUAAACCAAGUUGCUUACCCACCGACAUUGUUUGCUAGGCUUCCUUCUCGAAACCAAAAGGAAUGGUAGCCGAGUUUUCUCCAUUAGUAGCCUUUUAGUGAGGGCAAUUCAUUCUUGCGAUGUCAUUGUCGGUAGGCUCAAAGAAAUGGUUAUUGUCAAUUGUUUCAAUGGCUGGUAAGUUUUUAGGUUUCUUUUCCCUUUUCCCACCCCUAGAGAACUUGGGAGAGACUUCAUGGAGUCAAUGAUGGAUUUAAGCUUCCUGCAAUUUUUGAGAAGUCCUGAAACUUUAAGGCACUUGCCCUGAUUGUGGAGAGCAAAGAGGUGGGCUGGGCUUGGAGAUUUAAAAGGGAACAAAGCAAGACAAGAUGGACUGCCCUGCACUUGGGGAAGAGAUUCAACAAGAAUGGGCUUAGUUGAUCUCUGUGAAUUAAUAUCUGGUUCUAAGCAAUUACUUGUAAUAAGAGGACGGGGCAUGUCUAGGGGAAGAUAAGCCGAUUGUGUAGAUGGAAUCUCAAAAGGUUCUAGGUUAAUGCGGUAGUAAGGCAUAAAAUGCUCUUGAACCAGAUUUAGAUCAACGAACGGAACUAGCAUAUCCGGCUCUCGCAUGUUAUCUUGGGAAAUUUCAAAAAACUGCGAAGAGGGACCAAGAGUUGGAGCAUUCUCAGGUUCCAACACUCUGCAGCUACUUGUGGGCUAAGAUCAUCAUGGUGUUGUUCCAUGCCAAGAGCUAAUUGCUGGGUAAAAGCCAGUGAGUAACUCUGAUUUUCUCGAGAAGCAAAGAGAAGAUUACGACUGAUCUCGAGACUCAAAGCACUAUUACUCUCAACAUGCAUAGGUUGCACGCUAGUAGGAUCGUGAUAUGGGCUAUCGGAAGAAUUUACAGUGUUUUAAUUUGUCUUCGAGACAUUAGGUAUGGGAGAGACCAAAUCACAUCUUGACAGGUCAGUAGGGGAAGAAUUGAUGACACGUCAUCAUCUUUUUGCUUCUUUAAAACUUUGUCUAAACUCGCAGAGGUAGUAGGCUUACAAUGGGGUUUGUAGAUCCUUGGUGCGAGAAGUUCAUGACAGGGUUCUUUGAAGGAAACAAUGUGGUAACACAAGUUGUCAAUAUCUG
This 2199-nucleotide unclassified non-coding RNA is filed under the name Hevea brasiliensis (rubber tree). The record is from RNAcentral. Lineage: Eukaryota; Viridiplantae; Streptophyta; Magnoliopsida; Malpighiales; Euphorbiaceae.